Molecule: ribosomal RNA, 464 nt
Filed under: uncultured bacterium
Lineage: Bacteria
Description: partial 16S ribosomal RNA
Rfam family: Bacterial small subunit ribosomal RNA
Source: RNAcentral
GACGAACGCUGGCGGCGUGCUUAACACAUGCAAGUCGAACGGUAAGGCCCUUUCGGGGGUACACGAGUGGCGAACGGGUGAGUAACACGUGGGUGAUCUGCCCUGCACUUUGGGAUGAGCCUGGGAAACUGGGUCUAAUACCGGAUAGGACUACGCGAUGCAUGUCGUGUGGUGGAAAGCUUUUGCGGUGUGGGAUGGGCCCGCGGCCUAUCAGCUUGUUGGUGGGGUGAUGGCCUACCAAGGCGACGACGGGUAGCCGGCCUGAGAGGGUGUCCGGCCACACUGGGACUGAGAUACGGCCCAGACUCCUACGGGAGGCAGCAGUGGGGAAUAUUGCACAAUGGGCGCAAGCCUGAUGCAGCGACGCCGCGUGGGGGAUGACGGCCUUCGGGUUGUAAACCCCUUUCAGCACAGACGAAGCGUAAGUGACGGUAUGUGCAGAAGAAGCACCGGCCAACUACGUG